Molecule: ribosomal RNA, 497 nt
Filed under: uncultured bacterium
Lineage: Bacteria
Description: partial 16S ribosomal RNA
Rfam family: Bacterial small subunit ribosomal RNA
Source: RNAcentral
GAUGAACGCUGGCGGCGUGCCUAAUACAUGCAAGUCGAGCGAACAGACGAGGAGCUUGCUCCUCUGACGUUAGCGGCGGACGGGUGAGUAACACGUGGAUAACCUACCUAUAAGACUGGGAUAACUUCGGGAAACCGGAGCUAAUACCGGAUAAUAUAUUGAACCGCAUGGUUCAAUAGUGAAAGACGGUUUUGCUGUCACUUAUAGAUGGAUCCGCGCCGCAUUAGCUAGUUGGUAAGGUAACGGCUUACCAAGGCAACGAUGCGUAGCCGACCUGAGAGGGUGAUCGGCCACACUGGAACUGAGACACGGUCCAGACUCCUACGGGAGGCAGCAGUGGGGAAUCUUCCGCAAUGGGCGAAAGCCUGACGGAGCAACGCCGCGUGAGUGAUGAAGGUCUUCGGAUCGUAAAACUCUGUUAUUAGGGAAGAACAAAUGUGUAAGUAACUAUGCAUGUCUUGACGGUACCUAAUCAGAAAGCCACGGCUAACUACGUG